This 1106-nucleotide small RNA is filed under the name Pongo abelii (Sumatran orangutan). RNAcentral describes it as "retained intron". The record is from RNAcentral. Lineage: Eukaryota; Metazoa; Chordata; Mammalia; Primates; Hominidae.
GCUUUUGAAAGGCGGCGGGAGGCGGCGAGCGCCAUGGCUAGCCCGGGCCGCCUGCUGUGCGUGCUGGGCCUGCUACUCUGCGGGGCGGCGAGCCUCGAGCUGUCUAGACCCCAAGGCGACACCGCCAAGAAGCCCAUCAUCGGAAUAUUAAUGCAAAAAUGCCGUAAUAAAGUCAUGAAAAACUAUGGAAGAUACUAUAUUGCUGCAUCCUAUGUAAAGUAUUUGGAGUCUGCAGGUGCAAGAGUUGUACCAGUAAGGCUGGAUCUUCCAGAGAAAGACUAUGAAAUACUUUUCAAAUCUAUUAAUGGAAUCCUUUUCCCUGGAGGAAGUGUUGACCUCAGACGCUCAGAUUAUGCUAAAGUGGCCAAAAUAUUUUAUAACUUGUCCAUACAGAGUUUUGAUGAUGGAGACUAUUUUCCUGUGUGGGGCACAUGCCUUGGAUUUGAAGAGCUUUCACUACUGAUUAGUGGAGAGUGCUUAUUAACUGCCACAGAUACUGUUGACGUGGCAAUGCCGCUGAACUUCACUGGAGGUCAAUUGCACAGCAGAAUGUUCCAGAAUUUUCCUACUGAGUUGUUGCUGUCAUUAGCAGUAGAACCUCUGACUGCCAAUUUCCAUAAGUGGAGCCUCUCCAUGAAGGUAUACUAAUUACACAAUGAAAUUAAUAUGUUUAGAAUAACUGCAGAAGUAAUCAUUUUGUUUUAUUUUCAUAUUCUAGAAUUUUACGAUGAAUGAAAAGUUAAAGAAGUUUUUCAAUGUCUUAACUACAAAUACAGAUGGCGAGAUCGAGUUUAUUUCAACAAUGGAAGGAUAUAAGUAUCCAAUAUAUGGUGUCCAGUGGCAUCCAGAGAAAGCACCUUAUGAGUGGAAGAAUUUGGAUGGCAUUUCCCAUGCACCUAAUGCUGUGAAAACUGCAUUUUAUUUAGCAGAGUUUUUUGUUAAUGAAGGUAAUAUGAGGGUACAUAAUUUUGUUAUUCUGGGGUAGUUUUGAAGAAAAUUGCCUUCAUCUGAACUUUUGCCUACCCUUUUGCUCUAUAAAUGUUUUGUAAGUUCUAUAGGUUUAACUUUAAAGAAUAAUACAAAUGUUAAAUAAUGUGAAAGCCCUA